This is a long non-coding RNA of Hyaena hyaena (striped hyena), 355 nucleotides long. RefSeq lists it as uncharacterized. The record is from RefSeq and is a predicted model, not a curated record. Lineage: Eukaryota; Metazoa; Chordata; Mammalia; Carnivora; Hyaenidae. The transcript is spliced from 3 exons.
UAGAUGGUGAUGGUCACUACUGGAGGGCAGAUGUUAGGGCUCAGAGAGCGUGACGGACCUAGAGCAUCAGGGAACUUCGGAGCGGGGGCCAAGGUUGUGGGGUGUUCAAGAGUGGGUGUACCCUUCACCUCUCCUGAGCUGCUGUCUUCUCGUCUGCUAAGUGGGGAUUAUAAUACCUAUGCCGAAGGCUGAUGUUGGGAGUAAAUGGUCUCUGGGAUGUGAAACUGUUUGGAAGCUGGAUGGGCUCAUCGUGCUUGGUCUGGAGGCCUUGGGUCUGGAAGACCCGAAGUGUUCAAGAAAUGCACCCCUCCCAUCUUCUGAUGGGAUCUCGGACACUAUGGAGAGAGUUUUGGGU